RNAcentral lists this ribosomal RNA (215 nucleotides) under uncultured bacterium. RNAcentral's name for it is "partial 16S ribosomal RNA". It matches the Rfam family "Bacterial small subunit ribosomal RNA", at positions 524 to 737 of the family's 1533-position model. The record is from RNAcentral.
UACGAAGGGGGCUAGCGUUGCUCGGAAUCACUGGGCGUAAAGGGUGCGUAGGCGGGUCUUUUAAGUCAGGGGUGAAAUCCUGGAGCUCAACUCCAGAACUGCCUUCGAUACUGAGAGUCUUGAGUCCGGGAGAGGUGAGUGGAACUGCGAGUGUAGAGGUGAAAUUCGUAGAUAUUCGCAAGAACACCAGUGGCGAAGGCGACUCGCUGCCGUGC